This 449-nucleotide ribosomal RNA is filed under the name uncultured bacterium. RNAcentral's name for it is "partial 16S ribosomal RNA". It matches the Rfam family "Bacterial small subunit ribosomal RNA", at positions 29 to 523 of the family's 1533-position model. The record is from RNAcentral.
AACGAACGCUGGCGGCAGGCCUAACACAUGCAAGUCGAACGCUGCAGCAAUGCAGAGUGGCAGACGGGUGAGUAACGCGUGGGAACCUUCCCAAUGGUACGGAAUAGCCCAGGGAAACUUGGGGUAAUACUGUAUUAGCCCCAUGGGGGAAAGAUUUAUCGCCAUUGGAUGGGCCCGCGUCGGAUUAGCUAGUUGGUGAGGUAACGGCUCACCAAGGCGACGAUCCGUAGCUGGUUUGAGAGAAUGACCAGCCACACUGGGACUGAGACACGGCCCAGACUCCUACGGGAGGCAGCAGUGGGGAAUCUUGGACAAUGGGCGAAAGCCUGAUCCAGCCAUGCCGCGUGAGUGACGAAGGCCUUGGGGUUGUAAAGCUCUUUUGGCGGGGACGAUAAUGACGGUACCCGCAGAAUAAGUCCCGGCUAACUUCGUGCCAGCAGCCGCCGUAA